UGAGCAUCACUCCAGUGCGGAGGCCAAGU
RNAcentral lists this non-coding RNA (29 nucleotides) under Rattus norvegicus (Norway rat). Lineage: Eukaryota; Metazoa; Chordata; Mammalia; Rodentia; Muridae. The record is from RNAcentral.